AUGCAACGCAUGAAAGAUCAGCUUAUAUAAAGUGCAAAAAGCCCUCGAAAUGUAUUUCACUCACAGUUACAAAUUCCGAGCAGUGUGGACGUUUUACAACCAGUGUGACCUUCUACAUUUUGCAUUAGCUCAAUAAAACUACAAAUUCUCAGCUGAUUUUCUCAGCUGAUUCAAGAACGAUAAAACAAUUUAAAAGGAUAUACAUAGUUUUUUAAAAAAACUGUCUCAAUCUUGAUACGAUAUGCCAGGGCAACGAAGAAAUCCAAAGCCAACGACGAUUUUGCCACCAGAUAAAAGUGUACUAGCAGAAUAUAACGUGUUGAAUCUAGAAACGUAUCAGUUAAAUUAUAUUUUUACUCUUUAGACUAUAUUUUACCUAUAAUAAAUACAUGUAAUAUAAUUUUUUAUUCUCGCAAAGUUGUCACGCACA
Molecule: small RNA, 430 nt
Filed under: Drosophila pseudoobscura pseudoobscura
Lineage: Eukaryota; Metazoa; Arthropoda; Insecta; Diptera; Drosophilidae
Description: GA32343
Source: RNAcentral